AUGGGCUGCCAGAGCAGGGUGAAGGCACGGCUCACCGCGAGCCCUGCGGCACUGGCCCUGUCACUCCGAUGUCAACACGCUGCCUCAGCCCCAGGGAGCCAGGGGACACUUGGCACAGGGCCGGGGAUGGCACGGGGCUGGGGCAGAUGCUGGUGUCCAGAAGGACUGCAGAGAAAGAGCCAUCCCACCAUGCAGGGCUGGAGACCUGAGGAACAAGCCCUGCCCGCUGUGCACCAUGGAGCAGAAAAGCCGCCUCUGGAAAGCACUGAAGUCACUGGCGCUGCUCCGGCUGCUGAGGGGCACGAACCGCAGGGUGCAGCGGCUGCACGCGGUGGCUGUGCGGUGCUGGCGCUCACUCAUGGCACAGAGGCUGCCUGGCAUCGCAUCACUGCUCCCCAGGGAAUGUCACCACCUGCCAGAGCCAGAGGAGGCUGCGGGCAACCCCGAGACCAGCUCGACCAGCAGCAGCAUGGAUACAGCAAAAGACGCACAGACAGGGACAUGGCCAGCAGCUGUGGAGGACAAGCAGGACUUACUGGUGACCCUGCCCCAGCGCUUCCGUAUGCCGGCCCGCAAAGUGCUGUGCCGGCCUUCACCCCAGCGCUGGGUCAAGCCCUGCUGCACCCGCUCCUGUGGAGAGAGCCUGGAGCGCACGCUCACCAUCCGCUACCCCCGGUGACCACCAUCCGUACGAGCGCUGCCCUCGCUGAGCAGGGCCCAUCUCCCCGAGCCCCAGCACAGCUCGCCAGCUGCUGGCUUCCCUUUCAGCGCUGCCUGAGGAGUUGGAGGAGAGUUGCCAGGAGACCUGUGGGUGAUGCACUCUGCCAUCCUGCUGUGAAUAAAGGGAGUGAGCUAUGCCUUACCGACACUGAGUUUCUGCCUCAGAGCUGCUUUCAGUUUGGGUUUCCGAUGUACUUGUAA
Molecule: long non-coding RNA, 921 nt
Filed under: Numida meleagris (helmeted guineafowl)
Lineage: Eukaryota; Metazoa; Chordata; Aves; Galliformes; Numididae
Description: lncRNA (ENSNMEG00000015915.1)
Source: RNAcentral